AUUUUUAUCCAUCUCCAAGUUCCUUCUUGGGACCCAGCGUCUGAUUGCCUGGGGCGGCCACAUUCCUGUCCUUGUACCUUACAUGGUGCUUGUGUGCUCCCAUCAUGGAUUGUCAAUUCUCGUUGGCAUCCAGACGGGAGACAAGUCAGCGAUAAGUGCCAAGGAGAAGACGGAAGCGGGUGGGCCCCUCUGUGUAGGACUUCUGUCUGAAUCAGGUGGAGGGAAGACAUGGGGAGGAGCCGCAUGGCUGCAGUGCCAGCUGGGAGAGAAGUACGGGCAGAGGGAGCUGCCGCGACCACAUGUUUUCCUGCAGCCUGUUGGGUGCGAGGGGAGGCAGUAAAGCUGGAAGGGAGUAGUUGAGAGCCUUCUGGGCAUCCCAAGCCCAGAGCAAGCACACUUGUUGCUGCCAUCCCUGCCCACCCCUCCGUCUUUUUACCUAUGCCUCUCUGACUCCUCCCAUUGCAUGUGGGCAUCUGUUGUGGACAUAAAGGGAGGUACAGCAAGGCUUUUUUUUUUAAGUUGGGGUUCUGCUUUUUUUACCCAGGCUGGAGUGCAGUGGCACAAUCUCAGCUCACUGCAACCUCCGCCUCUGGGACUCGAGCAAUUCUCCUGCCUCAGCCUCCCUAGUAGCUGGGAUUACAGGUGCCCGCCACCACGCCCGGCUAAUUUUUUGUAUUUUUGGUAGAGACGGGAUUUCACCAUGUUGGCCAGCCUAGUCUCGAACUCCUGACCUCAGGUGAUCCACCUGCCUCAGCCUCCCAAAGUGCCGGCCCGGCCAGGCUGUGUUCUUAAGGACAGAUGAGGGGCAGCUGCUUAGACGACCCUUGAACAAUGCAGGGGUAGGGGCGCCAACCACCUGAGCAGUUGAAAAUCCCCAUAUAACUGUUGACUCUGCCAGAAUUGCAGUACUCGCAGCCUACCAUUGACUGGAAGCCUCACCAACAACAUGAACAGUCGAUUAACACAUAUUUCAUAUGUUCUAUGUAUUACAUAGUGCAUUCUUACAGUAAAGUAAGCUAGAGGAAAGAAAAUGCUACUAAGAAAUCAUGAGGAAGAGAAAUACAUUCAUAGUACUGUACUGUGUUUAUCGAUACCCUAAGUCUAUAGGAUGAAUCAUCUUUCUGAAAUGGUGGCAUCCACAGGUGGCGUCCACAUCUGCAGACCUGAAUCUACUGUCCAUAUCAAGCAAUUCCACGUUUUCUUGUAAUGUCACGGCUUUCCCUUGCUUCUCGGGAGCACUUCCAGCAUCACUAGUGGCAUGUCACAUGGGUCCCCCUGGGGUUAUUCACCUUUUACAGUAUUGCACGAAAUGCAUGAAAAAUCCUCUAGAACCGUGAGAGGUCACUUUUUAAUGUGAUGUGCAUUUUGCUGGAGAGAGGAGCUGCCCACUCGGAGGUGAUUAGCACUGCACAACAUUUUAAGGGGAUCUUCGAAACACUUGAGUGAAACUGAGCACAGUGGCAACAGGAGGCAGCUGUGAAAUGCCGACAGGAGCACGAUGUGGGCCACAGCUCCCUGUCUGCAGUUAUGAUUGCAGAUCGCAUCUUUCUGUUGGUUUACACUUCGCUCAGCUGCACAUAGUGCCAUCUCUGGAAGCAUGUGCACAUUUGUGUAUACUUUAUGGACGUGGCUGAUAAAAGACUAGUAUCUACCUAU
This 1656-nucleotide long non-coding RNA is filed under the name Homo sapiens (human). RNAcentral describes it as "HSALNT0226451". The record is from RNAcentral. Lineage: Eukaryota; Metazoa; Chordata; Mammalia; Primates; Hominidae.